This 65-nucleotide small nuclear RNA is filed under the name Loxodonta africana (African savanna elephant). The record is from RNAcentral. Lineage: Eukaryota; Metazoa; Chordata; Mammalia; Proboscidea; Elephantidae.
GAGAUGAGAGAGCAUGGCCCCUGCGCAAGGAUGACAUGCAAAUUCAUGAAGCAUUCCAUAUCUGU